AUUGAGAGGUCAGCAAGAUUGCCUUGGCUGGGAACCAAACUCAUCCUGGUUUCCUGUCUUGGGAUCUCAAGGGGCUAGAAUGAGCUGCUAUUCCAAGGGAGAGAAGAAAGCAACCCCAGGAAGCCUGGCCCCGAAGACUGUGAGGAAACAAAGCCAACAGGAUCUGCACCACCUCUGCCUCCCGGACAUUGGAAGGACUAAAUAAGAUCAGUGGCUGGUGUCCUGUCUCCAUCCUGCCUGGGAUAACACUGAAAAUCGCCUUAACUUCCUACGUCCUGAGACCUCAUUCCUAGAUGGAACGAGGAAUGGUAGCGACCACGAUCCUCCCCUCCCAGGAUCUGCGCCACAAGGGAAGAUCAGAACCUUCAGCUGCCAGAAGCACUGUGGCGGAAAUGUAGGUCCCCAUCCAGGCUGAUCUGAGCUUGGCUUUCUGGAGCACGCAAACCUCGAUGCACUGAACUGCUGCCGGACCUCACCUUGCCAGGCCCACUGUGCUCACACUCACACAUCGCUCCAUCCACUGGAGGCUGCAGAGGCAAGAUCCACCAAGAAGAUGGUCUUCCUGUCCAGGAUGCCCUUCCCUGAGAGAAGUGUAUUUAAUCUUAAAUUCAGAUGUUUGUUUGUCUACCCACUUAAAACACCCUGUUGAAUAAAAAUUACUCAAGGAACACAUGGAGGCUUUGUCCAUGUAAAAGAA
Molecule: long non-coding RNA, 697 nt
Filed under: Homo sapiens (human)
Lineage: Eukaryota; Metazoa; Chordata; Mammalia; Primates; Hominidae
Description: HSALNT0298926
Source: RNAcentral